This 73-nucleotide transfer RNA is filed under the name Stegodyphus mimosarum. It matches the Rfam family "tRNA". Rfam says of the family: Transfer RNA (tRNA) molecules are approximately 80 nucleotides in length. The record is from Rfam by way of RNAcentral. Lineage: Eukaryota; Metazoa; Arthropoda; Arachnida; Araneae; Eresidae.
GCCUCCGUGGUGCAGUGGUCAACACACUCGACGCGUAACCGAGAGAUCCGUGGUUCGAUUCCGGGCGAAGGCG